RNAcentral lists this ribosomal RNA (277 nucleotides) under Alexandrium catenella. RNAcentral describes it as "partial Bacterial small subunit ribosomal RNA". It matches the Rfam family "Bacterial small subunit ribosomal RNA", at positions 500 to 776 of the family's 1533-position model. The record is from RNAcentral. Lineage: Eukaryota; Dinophyceae; Gonyaulacales; Pyrocystaceae.
ACUCCGUGCCAGCAGCCGCGGUAAUACGGAGGGUGCGAGCGUUAAUCGGAAUUACUGGGCGUAAAGCGUACGCAGGCGGUUUGUUAAGCGAGAUGUGAAAGCCCCGGGCUCAACCUGGGAACUGCAUUUCGAACUGGCAAACUAGAGUGUGAUAGAGGGUGGUAGAAUUUCAGGUGUAGCGGUGAAAUGCGUAGAGAUCUGAAGGAAUACCGAUGGCGAAGGCAGCCACCUGGGUCAACACUGACGCUCAUGUACGAAAGCGUGGGGAGCAAACAGG